Molecule: ribosomal RNA, 93 nt
Filed under: Puniceispirillum sp. (SeqCode)
Lineage: Bacteria; Pseudomonadati; Pseudomonadota; Alphaproteobacteria; Puniceispirillales (SeqCode); Puniceispirillaceae (SeqCode)
Description: partial 16S ribosomal RNA
Rfam family: Bacterial small subunit ribosomal RNA
Source: RNAcentral
UCUAACCUAAGAGUUUGAUCCUGGCUCAGAACGAACGCUGGCGGCAUGCCUAACACAUGCAAGUCGAACGCUAUUUAUAGAGUGGCGCACGGG